AGAAACAGGAGACAGUAAAUUAAUAUAUAUAUUUUUUUCUGUUUUGAGUGCGCCUAAGAGAACUCAAUAAAGAAAUAGAAAUAGGAUCAAUACAUUCUGUCUGAAAAUCAGUUUAGAAGGAGCCACGGUGUCUCAAGGAGGAAACACUAACUAGUUAAAAAGCCUUUCACGAAACAAGUUAGAAACCUUCUGGUAAAUCCUUUGGAUGUUUCAGACAUACUGGCAUUAACUCAUAACCACCCAAACACUUCCCAUAUACGAUCAGUCCUAUUUAUGGCUUUUAGGUCAUAGAAUCACAGGAUCAUGAAGGUUGGGAAAGACCUCUCCGAUCCCCAAGCACAACCCCAGCCCACUCCACCAUGCCCACUGCCCACGUCCCUCAGUGCCAUAUCCAAAUGGUUCUGGAGCACCCUCAGGGAUGGUGACCCCACCGUUCUCUGGGCAGCCUGUGCCACUGCAUCACAGCUCUUUGAGAGAAGAAAUGUUUCCUAAUACCCAACCUGCUGUCAGGCUGAUACUGCCAAAACUCUUGUUAUUACCGGUAAAAUCUGCUUUGUGCUGUCAGAGCACCCUGAGGAGCUUGGAGGGCUGGAGCAGGGCACAGCCCUCUCCUCACACCUGGAGUUGGAGCUGCCUGGGACCACCAGCCCCAUCCAUCUCGUACAAUUUCCCUCAGAUCCCUGGGGGGGCUGCACACACAGAGCCUUUCUGCUGAUGAGAAGAGAGGAUUUCCUUUAAAGUAACUCCUUCACACAAUGAGUUCUCUGCCCUUUCUUCAGGUGCUCUCAGUACUACCCAGGCUAUUCCUACUCCUCCUCUGGGGCCAGAGGACGUGACCUGCUUUCACUUUCUCUUUUCUCAUCUUUCUCCCCCUCCCAUAAGACUGCAGUGUGCUCUCUUUACAUUACUCCAAGGCCAAGAACAGCCCACUCUGGCUCACCUUGUGAUUCCUCAGACCACAUCCCUCGGAGAUGCUCCAUCUGUACUCCGUGCAUUCAGAUCUGUCACGCUGCAGGGUCACCUCCUUUGUGUGUCACGUUGUCCCCUUGACCGGGGUGCAGUCAUGCUUUAAGUCACUAAGCUGAACUCAUGGGCCCCAGGAUUGUACUCAAAUAGCAGGACCUGUUUCUGCUGGGGCUGAAGAGUGAGUGGAUGAGGCCAAAGGCUCUUGGUGGUCCCCAAGAGCAUAUCUGCAGAGGGUUUUGGAUGGGGCCAAGAAGAAGUGCUCACAAGUGUCCCCAGGACCACUGCAUCCCCCAGGAGAAUCUUGCAGAUAUUUUCAGGAAAUUCCUUUAUAACAAAUACGGCUACCAGAGGAACUGGUUGCAAGUCCAGGCAAAUGAUGUAGGACAUUCAUGAUGGUAUUAGCGUUGCUCUUCCUUCCCUUGGUCACACAGGCUGCAGGGUACUCAAACUUCAGUCCUAUUUUGGCACCACAAACAACUUUUCAUCCUACUUCAUCUCUACUAAUUUAUUAAAUCCUGAGUGAGACUGCAAGUCCAUUAAAAUAUUUAAAUGCUGUUUCACAUUUUGAUAAUGAUUUAAAAAACAAAUAAUGGGGAACUUUUUGUUCUUAGAAUCUUAUGGAACAACAGCACUUAUUCUAGCAGAAAAUGACAUUCUAAAUCUGAAUGGAUAACCUUUGCCCAGUGAGGUUGUGCAUACCCCCGCCCUGGAAGCAUUCAAGCCAGGUUGGAUGGGAUUUUGAGUAACCUGGUGUAGAGGGAGGUGUCCCUGCUAUAAGAGGGGGGUUGGAACUAGAUGAUCUUAAAGGCCCCUUCCAACCCAAACUAUUCUAUGAAGUUAAAACAUUAGACCUGCUGGAUUGUGUGGUUUCAUCCAAAAAGCUCAUCUUACUGUUUCAUCCCAAUCUAUUUCAUUUUUCAAAUGUCAGAUAAGACGUUAAGAAGCUAGAAGUGGUAGUUUAGAACUACCAUAACAAUGAUUUAACAUGGAUAAAUGCAACAUAAACUGUACAACGUCGUCAUGUAUGUACACUCCAUAGUUUCUAUCUUCUCUUUUGAAUGUUUUGAUCCUGAAACAAAAGUAGGGAAUCUGAGUUUUGGGAGGAGUAAAAAGUAUCCCUGACCUACAAUCUUAUUUUCAAAGCAUGGCUUGGUAACCUCUUGGAAUUUCCUCAAGGUUUUGUAAAUAUUCUGCUGAGUUCUUUCAAGGUGUUAAUAUGUCAUCCAAAAACCAGAAAGUACUAUUUAUUCUCCACAGGACUCAAUCCAUUCUUCUUCGAAAUCCUGCAGGUAACCAGCUCCCCCCUAGGGUAAUCUCUCAUACUUCAGUAGGCACAUAAGUAUGUGUUAAUUUAGUCAGAAUUAGUGUUUCUUCUCCUUUCCUUCUCCCCUUCCCUUUCCACUUUUCCUGCUCUCUUUCCUUUUUUUCCUCCCCUUCCUUUUCCCUUUCCUUUCCUUAAAUUUUGUUUGCUAUGUUGCUGCCAGGCUUUGGACAAGUGAAGCCUGAAAAAAUCUAUUCCCUCUCUCAGUUUUGUAGGUAAACCCAUGGCUUGGGGAUUUUUAUAGGCACACUGAAUACAGAACUUCUACAUGUAAAAUUAUAUCCACAUUUUCAUCCCCUGUCCAUGUUUUCCUUGCAUGUUUUCAGUGCAAUUAUAUCUUUAAUAAUGGUGUAAUUGCAGAAAUCUUGCAGAAAAUACAAGACUUUAAGCAUUGCAACUGCAAUGUAGAUUUUUAUACUACAGAUUUAUUGGUGAAUAUUUUCUGUUGCAUUUGCAUAAAUACUAUUCCAGAAUAACAAGGUUUCAAAAUAUUUCUCUGUUUCAUUUAACUGGAAGGUCUGUGAUAUAGAGUUAUUUCAGAGAAUCAUAGGAUGUCUUGAGUUGGAAGGGACCCCAAGGAUCAUCAAGCUCCAACCACCCUGCCGCAGGCAGGGCUGCUAACCUCCAUAUCUAAUACUAGACCAGGCUGCCCAGGGCCCCAUCCAACCUGGCCUUGCACACCUCCAGGGAUUUCAUCUAAGAAUGCUUGUUUUUUAUUAUAUCUCUCUUUCAUUAUUACUUUUUUUUUUUUUUAAUGAAUAUAGUCCCCAGAAAACAGAUACAGACGACAAUAGUGAUCUUUGUGAAGAAGCAGCUUUGAAGCCCCCUUUAUUUACCAGAAAACUAUCAUUCCAGAUCCUAAUAAAGCUCAGAGAUUCAGCUGAGCUCGCUGUACUGCAGCAAGCUUAAAUCACAGCUGAAGUGAAAAGAGAGAUUCAGAUUAUGUACUUCCAGAGAAGUGCCCAAGCUCACAGCAGUAAAUAAACACACCUACAAGAGAGGACAGUUUUUCUCCACUCAGCGUAUCCCCAGAUUUCCUUCUUCACUGCUACGUUACCCAUGUGGCAGAUCAGGGCAGAAUCACAAAAAAUUCCUACAUUUUUCUUGUGCCAUAAUAUCACCUCCACUUAUUCCUGUACCUGAUCACUUGUGAUUAAGGCCGAUGAGGAAGACUAGUUUCAAGGGAUGCAGAAAGUUUAGUCGUCCACACAAAACCAUAACGACUCUUCAUUUGUUUUAUACCCCAAGGACAGAUUUCUGCCUGUAGUCAGCAGCACUGAAGCACAUCUUACUCUCAACUGAUGGACUAAUCUGACUCUCUGAGCUACCUUGCCUUGCUCUGAAAACUGAGAUUGCAUGGGAAGAGUUUCUACCAUCUCCUGUACUUAACCAUGAUUCUCCCAACUCAUGUCACACCAAAUUUAACCGUCAACUCUAAGUAAAAUGGAUUAAAAGUCUCCGGAGAGUGAUGAUCUUCUAGAGGGAGAGGCUCCAGUGACUUUUGGAUUGCCAAAAAGAUGAAGACUUUUUUUGCCUCUUAUGAAAUUUGAAAAGAUCACCACUUUAUCUUAGGGCCAGGUCGUUUAAUUACAACGAUUUACCACUGAUAUUAAAACCAAACGUGAUAAUUAUUAAGAAAUAACUAGCAAUUAAUAAAUGUAUUUUUAAAAUAACUAUGACCUUUCACCUUACAGAUCCAGAUUUAAUUAUUGGAAUACUUCCAUCUUUAGAAGAUUAAAAAUAUCAUUUUUCUGGUAGUCAGUAAGAUCCACUGUAUUGCCCAUAAAGAGCCAUGUCUCUGUUACUCAUUAAAUAGAAGUUUUAAAGAGUUUUUAAUUAAGGGAUGAACAAGUAAAUUCAGCCCAUAAGACAAGCAGGACAUGUAUAUGUGGAAUAAAACAAUAAAUAAAGAGAGGAUUAAAUACUUCCAAGUUGUUCAAUGAUGAAUUAAACAAAAGUCCAAAUACAAGAUUUCCUCACCCUUCCUGCUCAAGAUUUAUACCACUAAUCAGCCAAGUUUCAAAUCCUUAAUACAGUAAAGCAUUUGCCUUUAAGGCAGCAGCAAUUCAAGAUUGCUAGCAAAAUGAAUGUAUUUCCAUUAGGCAAAAUAAUUAGGUCAUAUAUUCUAACAGUAUCUUUGGACUUAAAUCUCUUUGGUGAAGGGAACUGUCAAUCACCUACAAUUCGAUCAACAAUCUUGGUCAGAAACCACCCCAUAUGUGGAAAGAAAAUUACAAGUGACUUUUCUGUCCCUUGCAUUUAUUCAAGGUCAUUCAUAAAAAAUAACAGUGAAAUGACAGGUUACAUUUUGUCCUACAAAUCUGGUGCUUUUUGAGGAAUAUAUUUGAAUACUACUUUAUGUUUAUUAAAGCCAGUAUGAGUACCUAUGCAAAUUAAAACUCUUCAAAUCUCCACAUCAGAAUGAACUCAUGCAUUUUAGUACAACUUUUCAGGGUGUUGCAGGUUUGUAAUUGUGAGCACAGUAAAUCUUU
Molecule: long non-coding RNA, 4779 nt
Organism: Gallus gallus (chicken)
Lineage: Eukaryota; Metazoa; Chordata; Aves; Galliformes; Phasianidae
Source: Ensembl